This 134-nucleotide long non-coding RNA is filed under the name Dermacentor andersoni. Its description in RNAcentral is "uncharacterized LOC126536747". Lineage: Eukaryota; Metazoa; Arthropoda; Arachnida; Ixodida; Ixodidae. The record is from RNAcentral.
AUUAUAUCGUUUCCUAAUCUGUUUUGUUUACAUCAAGUAUGAUGUAUUACAUGUGCUGUACCUUAUAUUGUACUUUUCGUUCAUACCACAGUUGUAAGCCGUGCCUACGGGUGAAUAAAUUUCCUUGUCAGCAA